UAGUCUACGCCGUAAACGAUGGAUACUAGUUGUUUGGACUUCGGUCUGAGUGACUAAGCGAAAGUGAUAAGUAUCCCACCUGGGGAGUACGUUCGCAAGAAUGAAACUCAAAGGAAUUGACGGGGGCCCGCACAAGCGGUGGAGCAUGUGGUUUAAUUCGAUGAUACGCGAGGAACCUUACCAGGGCUUAAAUGUAUGUUGACAGGUUUAGAGAUAGACUUUUCUUCGGACAAUAUACAAGGUGCUGCAUGGUUGUCGUCAGCUCGUGCCGUGAGGUGUCAGGUUAAGUCCUAUAACGAGCGCAACCCCUGUUGUUAGUUGCCAGCGAGUAAAGUCGGGAACUCUAGCAAGACUGCCGGUGCAAACCGUGAGGAAGGUGGGGAUGACGUCAAAUCAUCACGGCCCUUACGUCCUGGGCUACACACGUGCUACAAUGGCCGGUACAGAGAGCAGCCACUAUGUGAAUAGGAGCGAAUCUAUAAAGCCGGUCACAGUUCGGAUCGC
RNAcentral lists this ribosomal RNA (504 nucleotides) under uncultured bacterium. Its description in RNAcentral is "bacterial SSU rRNA". It matches the Rfam family "Bacterial small subunit ribosomal RNA", at positions 791 to 1301 of the family's 1533-position model. The record is from RNAcentral.